UAUUAUUUGUGCUCGUAUAUCCGUCGAUCCUAUGUUAUAAUUGUUUGUUGCAGUUUGUUCUAUUUUUAUUUUACAUGGGGAAUGUCCAGAUGUUGAUGUAUGCUGGUAGAGUGUCAUUGUAGCUCAAGCUGGCAAAGGCUCUAGGAACGAUUGGACGUAAAAAAUAGAUGUUAGUACCUACCUACCUACCUACCUACCUACAUACCUAACGAAAUUUGAGUGAUUCUUGGUGAAUCCACUUGCUUUUCAUUCCUUGAAAAUGCUUCAGAUUUCUAAAUGAAGCCAGCUUUUUCUUAUGAUUUUCAGAACAAAAUUAUUGUCACUUCAAAUUGAUUAAGUUAUAGGCUCUGAAGCUACUUGUGUCUGGAAGCAUGCUGAGAUUUCUGAAGGACUCUAAGGCUGCUGUGAGCCGGCAGUUUGCCGGCGGCGGCCGCGUCCAUGCCGUGUUUGGUAAUGAGUCCUGCGACCUGGACUCGGCGGCGGCGUCUCUCACCUACGCCUACCUGCUGAGCUCGAUGGACCGGGAGACACUGUUUGUGCCCGUCCUCAACAUACCGGAACAGGAGUACCCACUGAAGACGGAGGUGACCUUCUUCCUGCACAAGCUCGGCAUCGGCAAGGAGCACUUGGUGUUCAGGCCCGAGUUGGACCUGGCCGCGCUGCACCGGGCCGGCCGUCUCCUCAUCACGCUGGUGGACCGGCACCGUCUGGACGGUCCGGACGCGCCGCUGCAGCCGUGUGUGGUGCACGUGCUGGACCACCACCAGCCCGACCGGCCGCUCUCCGAUGACGUGGUGAUCGAACCGGUCGGCUCGUGCUGUACCCUGGUGGCCGAGCGACUGUUCCAGCUGAAUCGGAGUCUGAUCGACCGAACGGUGGCCGACCUGCUGCUCGGCACCAUAGUGUUGGACACGGUCAACAUGUCUGCGGCGGCGCAGCGCGGUACGCCCAAGGACCGACUGAUGAUCUCCUUUCUGGAACCGCUCUCCUCAGGCGACUCUCCCGACCAGCUGUUCGAGAUGCUGCAGCGCGCCAAGGGCGACGUCAGCCGGCUCAGCAGCUUCGAGCUGCUGAGCAAGGACCAGAAGGCGGCUGAGGGCGCCGCGCUCUCGGCGGUGGUGUGCUCAGUGCCGAUGCUAGUCAAGGACUUUGUCCGCGCGCCGGACGCCGUCUCGGCGUGUAACCAGCUCUGCCAGUCGACCGGCCGCGACCUGGUGGUUCUGCUGGGCAGCCAGACGGGGGCCGAGUUCAGCCGCGACCUGGCCGUCUUCUCGGCUAAGGAUGAGGCGCGGAACCAGGUGUGUGCCGCCCUGGAGGGUGCCGUGACGCCCUGUCUGGGCCUCAGUCGAGUCAGCUCUCCUCACCAGCGGCUCACGCUGUUCAGCCAAGCGAACGUGGCCGCCUCGCGGAAGGCGGUGUUGCCGCUACUGCAGGCGUACCUGGCGGCGCUGCCGGCCCCGGCAGGCAGCGACUCGGGCGAGCUGUCGCCCGUGGGCCGUCCGACUCCGCGCAGAGCCUCGCCCCCGCCGUCUGCGCCGCCUCACCCCGCCCGACCAGAGGUGUCGGCUGACCUGAGGCCACCGAAUGGCAUUGACCUGGCCCUGAGCGCCCAGGUGGCUGCGCUUCUGGAACCGACCAGCACGGCGGGCAGCUCCCAGAGCUCAGCGCACAGCUCGGUCCCGUACACACCACAGAACAGCGUGGCGGACUCGGACGCCAUCGCCGACGUCACGCUGCCGUCCUUCAACUCGCGCGAGCUGCUGCAGCGCAUCGAGCUGCGACGCGGACCGCUCGGCGGCUUCGAGGGCGCCGACGACAUCGGCGCCUACCCGUUCACACCCAAAAACAGCUUCGUCGAAGAAGGGAGCACCCUGGAGGCGACGUAUCGGCACAUGAACAUGGCCGAGCUCGACUCGGACGCCAUACUGCAGCGGGUGCACGAGAAGAAACGUAACAACGAGCUGUUUGACGACAUUGAGGAGGAGGAGGCGGACGUGACGGGACCGGCGGCGGGCGCCACCGGCGGCACGCUGGUCGACAGCCGGGCCCCGAACGGUGUCACCAGGCCGGGCCCGCAGCAGAGGGCCGGCGACCGGUCAGAGGCCGGCUCCCGACACUCGGCCGACACGGGGAGGAUGCGGACGGAGCGCGGCACGGGCUCGGGUACCGCGACUCUGACCCAGACCGGCGCCGCCGGCGACCCGACCGGUAGCCUGAACGGGGACAGGGCGGCCCCGCAGUCGCCCGGGGCGGGAUACAGAGCCGCGGCGCUCAGUCCGGUCGAGGACGGCAGCCUGUACGACGACGACACAGCCACCUUCAAGUCGGCGCUCUCCUCCUCCGAAGCCAUCCGGCGACGGGACUCCCCCGCGGCGAUGUCGGCGGCCACUGACGGGUCCGGCGAUCCCGUGCCGCCGGGAAGCACCAACGGCACUCCUCCGGCGGCCAGCAGCGACCCGGCCCGGCUGUGGCGCGCCGGUGACGGGCGCACUGUGCGAGACCGGCUCGAGCACGGCCUCAGCGGCGGUGGCGACUCGUCCGGGCCGCGCUCGGUCAGUUUCGGCGAGCUGCCUCCCGGACACCACGGCUCACCGGGCGGCGACGCCGGUGGCGGACCCGAGUCGCUCAGUCAGCUCAGCCUGACGCCGCUCGACGAUGACUACUACGAGGAUUUCACGCUGCCCGGAACCCACGAGGGAGUCAUGUCGCGACAGAAGAGUUUCCGGCGCCGUGUGCGCGAUACGCCAGUCUCUGAGCCGGACGCUGACCGUAUCGAGCACCUGGUGCGGGCGGGCGAGCUGGAGCGGCACGGCAGUAUCAGGAGGAAGCUGGUGGCGCCGGCGGCGUCUCUAGGGGACUCCGGCAGUCCGGGCCGGUUCGGCCACGACCUGCGGGAGAUCGAGCAGCUGAUGGAAGAGGAGGGUGAGCAGGUGGCCAUCGAUGACCUUCCCAGCCUCGGGCCCGUGCUCGGCGCCUCCACUCCCAAAACCCCCGGCGAGCCGACCGACCAGCCGGCCUCGCUGCCGCCGUUCAGCGACGAACCGCUCAGCAUCGAGAUGAGCAGCACCAUCAUGAAAGUGCGCGAGUGUCUGGACCAGGAGAAGCUGAAGGACAUUUAUACCAUCAGCGGUCGGCUGCAGGACAUCCUGACCCAGGAGGACAUUCAGGAGAUCCUGGACCACCCGGAGAUGUUCGCGCAGCUGCUGGGUGAGGGUAUCCUGGCCGAGCUGCGCAGUUCCAUGAGUGAGUCGCAGCAUGGCUCGCCGUCACGGCCGGCGGCGGCGGCGGCGGUGACCACGGACGGUCCGUCGUCUGGUUCGGCGAGUCCGGCCAGCGCGCGGCACACCAUCACUGUGCAGGCGGAGGUGAGCGCCGAGCAGGCCGAGGACUCUUCCUCGCCCUCCAUCUCCCCCUCUCCGUCGUUCGCGGAGAACAGGUCCGCCAGUGUGGUGGAUGUGUCGGCUGCCGCGGCUCAGUCCGCAGACGCCGUGUCACCCGUCCCCAGCGAGGCGACGGAGGUCGCCUCUCCGGCCCCCUCCCCGCGCAGCAGGAUCCUCCCCCCGGCUGAGCUGACCUCGGAUCACGAGUUGACCGCUCCGUCGGACCGCUGCGGACCCUCGUCGUUACCGGCCGAGCCACCGUCUCGCGCCGACGCGGCGUCCCCUCCGCCGGGCCCGCUGUGGAGGAGCGGCUCGCUGCGCCGAAUCGGCGGCCACCGGCCGCUGGAGGCGCUCUUUGCCGAGAGUGACGCGCGCCCGGUGGCCGGGCAGAGACGGAUCGUGGCGCCCACAAUCAGUCUGGACGACUCGGAGACGCCCGAGCGGGACGGUACGUUUGAAGAGCCGGUCGGCAAACCCGCGGACGCCGACAGUGGAGUUAGCGAGACGGGUACUGCUGACUGGCUGGCCAGCCGGGAGAACCUCGAGGCGAGCCGGGAGAACCUCGAGGCCAGCCGGGAGAACCUCGAGGCCAGCCGGGAGAACCUCGAGGCCAGCCGGGAGAACCUCGAGGCCAGCCGGGAGAACCUCGAGGCCAGCCGGGAGAACCUCGAGGCGAGCAGAGAGAACCUCGGUCCGGAGGAUGACGCCGAGACACCGUCAACACCAAAGCCUCAUAGUCGUCCCAGGCCGUCCCCAGACCGGCCGUCCACCCUGAGCGGGGCGCCCCGGCGCAAAAAGAUCAGCGUCUCGGCGGACGUGCUGGCCGACCAGGACACCAUGUCGGGCUCGAGUCAGCUGGAGAGUGAGGAUGACGGGGCGGCCACGCCGACCGAGGCGCUCGCCACAUCCGAGCUGCUGGAUACACUCACUCCGGACGACAUCGAGACGCCCGACGAACUGGAGGCCAGCAUCUUGGAGCGUCUUCCGCCGGCGGAGCCAAUACCCGAGUACACGGCCCGGGAGGAGAUAAACGACGAGCGCGCGUGGCGCAGCUGUGUCGUGGCCGGCCUGGAGAGGCGGAUAGACAUGAAGGUCAUCGAGCCCUACAAAAAGGUGCUGUCCCACGGCGGGUACCUGGGCCUGGAGGGUGACCAGGCCAUCAUUGUGUUCUCCGCCUGCUACCUGCCCGACCGCAGUCGGAGAGACUACUCGUACGUCAUGGACAACCUCUUCCUGUACGUUCUGACGACGCUGGAUUCGCUGAUCGCCGAGGAUUACAUCCUGAUCUACCUGCACGGCGCCACCCAGCGCUCCUGUAUGCCGUCGUUCGGCUGGCUGAAGCGCUGCUACCAGAUGGUGGACCGGCGUCUGAGGAAGAACCUCAAGGGGCUCUACCUGGUGCACCCCACCUUCUGGGUGAAAACCAUCGUGGCUCUGACCAGGCCCUUCAUCAGUUCAAAGUUCAGCCGCAAACUGCGGUUUGUCGCCAGUCUGAUGGAGCUCAGUCAGCUGCUGCCCAUGGAUCACGUGUGCAUCCCCGACCGCGUCAAACAGUUCCAGUCUCGAUUAGACACCUAACCCUUCUCUCUGCUUUCACGCUAAGAUACGAUGAGAUAAAAGCGAGCCUGCAGACUAGACUUCCAGCUGAUGAUCGCUGAACGAAAGAAACAACUCGGCAUACGCUAACCACUGGGCCGUCUUCACUGCUGCGAUCUGUCAGCGGGACGGAGAAGCUUCAGUUCACCGUACUGCCGCCGCCCGUAUGGACUGCGGCGGCAGGAUGAUGCUGCACCAGUCUAGUCGCGAGAACUGGCGAGGAAUGGGAUGAAACUAUCCCGGAGACUUCGAUUUGAUACCGGCUGCCCGAGAGGGGCGGGGAGGUUCUGAAACAUUGUUCUCAAACGAGACACCGCCAUCCCUCCCUCUGCCCAGCUGUGACGGUAGUGACGCGAAUCACAGCCGUCGCCGAGACGCGAUAUGUGCAUUCCAUUUUUUGUGUUUGGGUCGCCCGUGUGAACGCGCUGUCUCUGUGAAGUCACGUGAGUGAGUUUGUUACUGUACCGCUUGCGACGAAUAUGACCGCGGAAACGGCGGCUGGGCGGACAUGUGAACCAAGGCCGUAUGAGAGGUGAACAAUAUAAUAUCGUGGAGAAGUGUACCUAUGGGGAUGCAACGUCGCCUUAAUUUUGAUGGUAUUUAAACGAUUGUUAACAUUUGUAGUACUUCUCGUACGUUAUCCUUAACAGCAGAAUAUGAGAGAAAGGGAUCACAAUUGAAAUACAUGUGUGAUGUGAA
RNAcentral lists this unclassified non-coding RNA (5675 nucleotides) under Amphibalanus amphitrite. RNAcentral's name for it is "uncharacterized LOC122391398, transcript variant X3". The record is from RNAcentral. Lineage: Eukaryota; Metazoa; Arthropoda; Thecostraca; Balanomorpha; Balanidae.